AGAUUGGGUGGGACUGCACCCCAGAAGGCCUUGAGAGCAAUGGGUAGCAAUGAAAGAUUUGGAGCAAGGACCUCACAGGGCUGGAAUCAGAAACCUGGAGCCUCUUCUUUGGAGGAAGGUUUAUGUGGUGUUCCAUUGUACCAGAUGCACAAAAGCUGAGCAGCUUUGGUGGAGUGAGUGAGGGAGGCCUCGAUCACAUCUCUUGCUGGGCAUCUCCACAGAACCCAGGAGACGCAUCUGAAAACGCCAUCUCACUGCUGUGGUUCAGUGCCUCCCUUCUAUCAUUCAUCAGCAGCACCUUCAAUGGUGAUGAAGAAAAUGUUGAUUCCUGACUCUCUCGCAAGUCUCGAAGCCUCCUCCACUUUGUCCGUGGGCCAGCCAUCCACCAUCACCACCACCACGUUGGGAGCGCCGCUUCUGUUUCC
Callithrix jacchus (white-tufted-ear marmoset) is the source of this 425-nucleotide long non-coding RNA. RefSeq lists it as uncharacterized. The record is from RefSeq and is a predicted model, not a curated record. NCBI's taxonomy places the organism in Eukaryota, Metazoa, Chordata, Mammalia, Primates, Cebidae.